This is a long non-coding RNA of Armigeres subalbatus, 260 nucleotides long. RefSeq lists it as uncharacterized. The transcript has 3 exons. The record is from RefSeq and is a predicted model, not a curated record. NCBI's taxonomy places the organism in Eukaryota, Metazoa, Arthropoda, Insecta, Diptera, Culicidae.
UAGUUCGCUGUAUCCAGACAGCAGUAUAUUGUUUUGUUUUUCUACAUUUUUGUUUCACUGAAAAGGAUCUGAUGUUAUUACCAUAUUUCCGACGGUCUGAAGGAAGAUGAAUCAAAGGCACCAUGGAGAUAGAUUUCAGAAAAUGUUUCAAUUUUUUUUACAUUACUGUUCAUCGGGAUUCGGUUGAUUAUGAUUCUCCACUCACUCCCAUUCAAGGUGGCCUCAUGCCCCCGCGGGGAUUGGGUCCGCGGAUUUUUCCC